This 583-nucleotide ribosomal RNA is filed under the name uncultured bacterium. RNAcentral's name for it is "bacterial SSU rRNA". It matches the Rfam family "Bacterial small subunit ribosomal RNA", at positions 338 to 916 of the family's 1533-position model. The record is from RNAcentral.
CCUACGGGAGGCAGCAGUGGGGAAUUUUGGACAAUGGGCGCAAGCCUGAUCCAGCCAUGCCGCGUGAGUGAAGAAGGCCUUCGGGUUGUAAAGCUCUUUCGGCGGGGAAGAAAAGGUACGUGCUAAUACCACGGACUAAUGACGGUACCCGAAGAAGAAGCACCGGCUAACUACGUGCCAGCAGCCGCGGUAAUACGUAGGGUGCAGGCGUUAAUCGGAAUUACUGGGCGUAAAGCGUGCGCAGGCGGUUUGUUAAGACAGAUGUGAAAUCCCCGGGCUUAACCUGGGAACUGCGUUUGUUACUGGCAAGCUAGAGUGUGGCAGAGGGGGGUAGAAUUCCAGGUGUAGCAGUGAAAUGCGUAGAUAUCUGGAGGAAUACCGAUGGCGAAGGCAGCCCCCUGGGCUAACACUGACGCUCAUGCACGAAAGCGUGGGGAGCAAACAGGAUUAGAUACCCUGGUAGUCCACGCCCUAAACUAUGUCAACUGGUUGUCGGGGAAGCAAUUCCUUGGUAACGAAGCUAACGCGUGAAGUUGACCGCCUGGGGAUACGGCCGCAAGGUUAAAACNCAAAGGAUUGACGG